This is an RNA transcript of Corythoichthys intestinalis (scribbled pipefish), 8227 nucleotides long. RefSeq lists it as uncharacterized. The transcript is spliced from 11 exons. The record is from RefSeq and is a predicted model, not a curated record. NCBI's taxonomy places the organism in Eukaryota, Metazoa, Chordata, Actinopteri, Syngnathiformes, Syngnathidae.
CCAGACAUGGAAAACACAACAACAGGAAAAGUGUUCCCGAUGUCCGGAUUUGGUGAACCCUGGUGUUUAGUGUACCAUUGAUAAUUGUCCAACAACACGAAUCCAUGGAAAGUUGGCUGCCCAUCUUCGCUUGAGAAUGAGUCUCGUUUUUAAUUUGUUCACUUCACCUUCCAGCCCAGUAGGGAGCGGUAAUACGUUGACCAGAAGAAGACCCCUCCCAUCUCCCCGUCAUACAGGCUGUGGCUUGCGAAUCUCCCAAUUUUGUGGGCUUUGUGCGCAAACGACGUUGUGAUGUUUGUGUGGACCGUUCAGCUCAGACAUCUGAACUAGUUCAUCGGUGGAACUAUGCUGAACCCGGCUCAAGAGGACAGUGUGCCAAACCCAGUGAACACUCAGUCCACACUGGAGCCACUGGACAAUGACACUGAUUCUACUAAGACAGCACCAAGUGAAGCAGGUGCACAAGAAGAGGGGAAUACAUCUUUCAAAGAGAAGAGCGCAACUCUAACUGAUAAAACACUCGCUGUUAAUUCGCUUGAACAAGCUGAAAGGAUGGUUGAACCAUCAGAAACCACUGAAGAGAUGGAAGUUGAUCAGUGUCCAAAGUCAAAUCCUCCAUUAGAGUUGACGCCUAAUCCAACCAGAAAUCCUGGGACUAACGAACAAGAGCCAAAGAAAAAGGGCAGGUAUUACCCUUCCAAGAAAGCAAUGACAGAUCCUCUGAAGAUGGAUAUGACCAAGCCAGUGGUCAUGCCACUCACAUCAUCAGAACUCUCCUUGCAGUGCAUCGAAUGCCACAUCAUCUUCAGCGAUACCAAGAGUAAACUGCGGCACCUGAAGUUGAGCCAUCCAGCCGAGUAUGAGCAGUGCAUCCUGAGGAAUUCUCUUUUCACUUGCUACCAUUGUGACCGCCAAUUCACUAACUCCACUGAGCUCAUGGCCCAUCAGAAAACCCACAUUGAAAAGAAACCAUUUAAGUGUCCUCUAUGCGGCCAAGCUUUUAAAAAGUUAUCAGAGCUUACACGUCAUAAAAAGAUUCAUAUCGGCCUGGAUGGUUACACCUGCCCCGACUGUGGUAAAACAUGCAAAACUACAACGCUGCUGAAGUACCACAGCCGCAUACACACUGGAGAGAAGCCAUAUGUUUGCAAGGAGUGUGGAAACAGGUUCAGCAUGUCCCAAGCACUGCAGAAACAUAUGCAGUCACACUUACCGGAAGGUGAACAAAAAGAGGGCGAAGCCAAAAUCAAAGCAAAAAGGAAAAGAGAGCUUGAUGCCUUAAAGCCUAAGUAUCCCUGCUCCAUUUGUAAGGCCACUUUCAAAAGUCCCAAGACACGCCUUCAUCAUCUUACAAAGAAGCACAGUUUGUCACUCACUUCACUUGGUAACCCCCUGAGACCUAAAACACAUGCAAAUCAGUUUACUCCAGUAAUUACGCCAUUAUCUAUUCCCCAAUCGUCGUUGCUACAGUUGGAGCAUAAUGGGCCACUUCAAAAAGUUGACAGCAAUAUUGACACAGAGCCAAUACGCAGGCUAAUCGAAUCUUUGGGAAAUGUCCAGAAAGUAAACCAAGUUGUGAUUUUGGGUCAAGUGCCUCCUCAUGCUCCCCCAUUAGAAGUACAACAGAUCUCUGACCUGUCCAAACCGGUCAAUUUAAACGUCAGUCUGCCCCAAUCAGAUUCUUUAAAUUUGACACCGGUUGAGUCAAAGACUUUGGAGGGAGAUUUAUGUGAUCCGAUGUUACAAACUAUCAUACUAGAACCAAUCACGCCAGAUGGACAGCUGAUCAACCCGCCCUUGUCAAAUAUGGACACGCAUGAAUUGUCAGGUGAAUGCCUCACACUUAGUUUUGCUCCAAGUGGACACAGCUUGGAACCGGAGGGAACGGUGAUGGAUCAAAUUCAUUCACAAUCUGGGAUUAAUGAAACAGACUCUAAUGCGUUCGAGCCAUCGGUUUUCCAUAAUGAAGGAACAGACCUCAAACAAGACCUUGACCAAAGUGUCGUACUGGGACUAACUCCUGCCCUGACACCAACUGCUGAGCUGCAACAAUCACAAAAUGAGCAACAACUGGAAAUCCCACCACCCUUUUUGGUACCUACCACAGAACUGGAGAAAACUACUUAUCAAAAUAUGGUAAAUGAGACCGAUAUUGGCUCACCAGUCCCAUCAUUUGAGCCUACUGUUGAAGAGAACUUGACAUCUUCACAAAAUGAAGUCACAUUGUUGGGGCCUGCAGUUGGACAGAGCAUGACAUCUUUACAAACCAAUCAACAAGAUCUCGCUACUUCUACUUUUGCCUCUCUGCAUCCUCCCACACAUGAUUUAGAAGAACCUGAAGCUAACUCACAGGAGAAUGUUCAAUCACAAGUUGGUCAAGUCCAGGUCUGCUUAUUAUCCAAUAGUGGGACGCCCCAGGAGUCUGAUUAUCAGUCUACACAAGAUAAAGAAGUUGGUCGAAAGGAAGUAAAGGAACAGGAGGAAAGUAGUUCUUCUAAAAAUGAGGGCCCUUCACAAACAUCCAGCCAGCAAGAACCACAAAAGGAUCAGGUGGAAAGUAUUUCUUCUAAAAAUGAGGACCCUUCACAAUCAUCCAGCCAGCAAGAACCACAGACCGUAGAAUUACCUGUAAAUGUCAUGUCAGCGCAAGAGCUUGUGAAAGUACGCAAAAGGAAGCCAGCCAGGGCCUUAAUAAUACAAGGUUAUAUGCAAGAACUGAUUGGGUCCAUAAUUGAUAAGGAUUUAGAAAGUGUUGCUAAACGCAAAAGAACAAACAAAUCUAAUCUCGUUAACGUCAGCCCUCAAAAGAAAGUGAAGAAUAACAAAAAACAAAAAUUACCUUCGCAGCAAUGCCAGUCUUCCCAAGAAGAACCAAAAACUAAUCAGGCAACAAAACUCUUGGAGAAUAAAGUGCCAUUAAAAAAGAAGGGAAACAUUUCCAUUAAAAGUAAAAAAACAAAGAACAUGGCAUCUUCAACAGGAGUCAAUUUGCUCCCAUUGACCAACAAUUCACAAGGGAAAGCUAAAAUAAGCAAGAAAAAAAUGAAAAAAGACAAUGCGGAAAGACAUCAAAAUAAAAGUAAACAAAAGGCUGUAAUUAAAAAGAAAAUGCAGUCCAAAGUAGGGCAAAAAGGUAAUCUAAAAAAAACUAAAUUGGCAAAUAAAGGGCCGAAGAAGAAGGACGAAACAAAGAGCCCAAAAAACAACCAAACUAAAGUGCAAGUAGAGUCACCCAACACACAAGUCAUACAAGACUCUCUCCUUUUGCUGAAAGGUCAUAAGCAGCCCCAGUUGAAGGUUCACAAAUUGGACCCUUCUAAAGCAUCUGGGCAAGAAACAUCACCUCGGGAUAACCGAUCCCAGCACAGCAAAGGAAACCAGGCAAAACAAAAAAAAACAAAGAAUGCCAGCAAUGUUGCUAAGAAAAAAGGGAAACCCAAAAAGACUCAAAAAGCCCUCUCGUUGCUGUCAUUUUUAAAUGCCUCCCAUCAAGUACCGGAAACCCAGCUUGUCAAGCCAAAGACCACUCGAAAACGCAAAGCUCCCACAAAUGUGGAGACUGAAGGGGUGAUAACCGCCGCACAUUCCAAGCGUGCCUUAGAGUGUAAAAACUGUGGGGAGAUAUUUAGUGAGGUUGCCUCGCUUCAGAAGCACAAGGCGAUGGUCCAUAUCUUAGAAAGUCCUGAGCUCACAUACACAAAUGGGAAUGUUUUUGAAGGUGUCUCCAGAUUAGAUGUUGACCAUCAAGAAAGAGCUAUUGGACUGAUGAAUCCGACUACUGGUUGGGAUAUUGAACCUGACGCCGCUUUGGAGGACAGGGAAAGAAGUGUCUCCUUUCCUGCUUUGAUUCCAUCUCCAUCUUUACCUUCUCAACCUCUCGAUGAAGGCAGUGUUCAGCCUCAUGUCGCUCCAAAACCACCCAAUUUGAUGAAAACCAUAACUUGUAAUCUGGAUCCUCUCUUUAAUAGCAACACUCAAAUGAAGAAAAAUGAAUCUGUUGUUUCCCUGGAUGAACAGCAAAAAAAAUGUAUGCCCAGGAGCCUCUGUUUAGAAUCUGAACACCAAUCCCCUGUAGAAACUGGCAUUAAGGAGGAUGCUAUGUUCGCGGUGGACCUUGUUACCAUUGGCGAGUACAAUGAAAGUGGUAGUAUAUCUUCUCUUCAAGAAACCCUUUCUCAAAGUGGUUCCAUUGAAGCUCCCUGUUCUGAUGCACAUCCCCUGGAAAAGACAAGUGAUCAUCCAACCACAGUGAGAUGUUUGCAGUCAGUCUCCUGCUCCACACAGCAAAUGGACUUUAAAGAUGAGGAAGAAGAGGUGUUAGUCCAGAAGAAAAAGGAUGCAGGAAAAGAGGGUAAACGACUAGGAGGAGCUCAUCGAAAAGUGGACACAAUAGCUAGGGGAUGUUUUCCAGAUUCUGUUAAAGGAAUGGAAUUGCAGGUGGAACAGGAGGAAUGUCAUGAUAUAUGUAAAAAACUAGAGUGUACUUCCCAAACAAAUGAUGAAAAUGAGACAAUUGCACAGAUUUCCCUCUCAGAUAUUCAUUCUGGACCUGAUGCUCAUAGAGCCACUUCUCCUGCAACUAUUAUUUCUUCAACACCCUCUACAUUGGAUGAAUCCAAUCAAUCUCAGGUGGACCGGGAGAGUCGGCAAUCUCCAGGAAUCUACAUUGAAAAGAUUAUCACAGCUGAACCUGUGUUGGCUAAUAGACAGUCCCACCUAAUGACCACAUGUAUCAAUAAAAGACAGGCUUUGAACACCACUGUUGAGAGUGAAACGCAACAACUGAUCAAGGUUGAAGAGCAUACAUCAGAUCCAAGACUUGGUGCACCGUUGUGUGGUAAAGAGAGCGACAGAUGGGCAGCAGGCAUGCAGCGACAACAGAACCGAGACAUUCAGAGGGUUCUGGUGAAACAGGAGAGCAGAGUUGUACAUGAUGAUGCCCGGUCCACACCUGAUAGCAGACACAGCCAAUUGGAUGUAGAGCAAGUCAAUGAUCAAGACACUUCCAUCCCAGUCACAGACACUGAGGAGACGUCCAGUGACUUCCGCAUGUCCCCUGACUUAACCAACAAGCAGUGCAUCUUCUACCCAGUGAAGAAUGAAGAGUGGGAACUUCCACUGGGUGCGUCUCACACUAAUAGUGGAAGCCCAGAAGUAUCCACUGAUGUCAGACAAACGCUUCAUUCAACCAGAGGCCGUCAUUCAUAUGAAGGCACUCAGCAAGGAUACCAUGAUUUGAGAGGACCAGAUACGAUGGAGGUUCACGACUUUACAGAUGGACAAGCUGAAGCAGAGUGUCAUGAUCCACCGGAUAUGAGGAGCUUUCUCCUGCAGACUUCUGAGGAAGAGGAUGCACGAGUUUUUGAGAUGUCCCAACCUCAUGUUGAUGCGGAAGCAGAGGUCCUGGAUAAUUUCUGCAAGAACCAAGGCGACUGCUCACAAUCAAGUAGAACACAAUUUGUUAACCAAGCAGCAUCAAGGGAGACCAACGAACCCAUUGAGUACUUCUCCAAAUAUUUUGGCUGGGACACCUGGGUAGAAAUGGCCCGCUGCAGCAAUCAAACAUCUGACUGCGUCACUGCAAGAGAAGUAGCCCAGUUUGUUGGGAUCCACAUUGCGAUGGGCACGUUGAAGUUUCCCAGUCCACGGCUCUACUGGGACAACUUGACCAAGGUGCCCUUAAUUGCUGAAGCCAUGCCGCUUCCCCGCUUCCUUCAGCUGUCACGUUUGUUGAAGCUUGCUUCCCCCGAUACGGAGCAACUCAAUGGUAAAAUAAGACAACAAACGUGUGUUGACUUUGCUCAUUCUCCUGCUAACAGGAGCGACCGAAGGGGAUUGUCAAACGACUCUGUGGACCCUUUGUGGAAGGUUGUACCAUUACUGUGCCAUUUCCAAAAAAGAUGCCAGUCACUUAGAAGACAGGGUGACUUUGCUGUGGAUCAGUAUUUGAUUCCCUUGACUGGUAAAGUGCACAAUAACAGGUUAGCUCUUCAUAGCACCACGUUGAUUGGAUUUGAGGGGUUGCUUCUCCAUGUGGAUCUUAAAGUGGAUCUGUCUGAGAAAGAACACGCUGUUGAGAAAAUGGUCCCUAAAGGCAGCACUGUGUUUCUCUGCAAGCAAGAACUCUCCACCCCUGCUAUGCUCGAGCGCCUCCUUGUGGCUGGGAUCCACGGAGCUGGUCGCGUUGGUGGCGCACAGGGUCAGAUCGGGGAUGAAUUCGUGAGCUCGGACGGCAAGCUGAUGCUGCGCAAGUCGCAUCAGGGCUUUAUCCUUUCGACAGCAGGAAACGGUCAGAGAAGAAUGGCCUCUCUGAUGAACAACUUUGAAAAAGCCCAAGCGGCUGCUCGCCUCAACAGAGAUUUGUUGAAUCUUUACUCAAUCCCGGUUUCCACCUCACCAACAGGCUGGCCUCUGGCUGUGCUCUGGUACCUAACAGAUAUGGCUUUAGUCAACUCCUGGCUGUUAUGCAGACAGGUCCAAAUGGUCACAUCUGCACCUUUGUCUCUCAUGGAUUUCAGAUUGUCAGUAGCCAAAGCCUUGAUCGACUCCAGCGGCUCAGACCCGCAGAACUCUGUCCUCCCUCAACACUCCCCGGCAAAAGCUCAUUCCAUAACCGACCCUUCUAAUCCCGGCACGGUACAGGAAAACCCUCUCCCGGAUGCAGCUACACGCUAUGACGGUUCAGGACAUUGGCCAGAGCAGCUCGGUGAGGGCGAAGGGGGCAGGUGUCGUUUCGGUGACUGUCAGAGGACUUCUCGGGUGCUAUGCCUCAAGUGCUGUGUCUUUCUCUGCAUAUCGCGCAACCACAACUGUUUUUUGAAUUUCCACAACCAGGCAAGUUCUGGAAACCUCUAGCACAUGACCUUUCAGUGUUGCUGUAUGUAACUUUUUUGGUGAUAAGUGAGGUCACCGCAACAUACUUGGGUGGACAUAAUGUUAAUUAAUUGAGGACGACAGCUGGUACUUAGAAAUUAAAAUAAUACGUCUGAUUGUAAAUAUAAAGUAUUUCCUAAUAUACCACUUUUUAAUUCCAGGCAUCCAAUAAUGUUCAGGCAUUUAUUUGGGGAGAUGUCCUUGUACAUAUUACAUUUUUCUAUUUUUAUACACAAAUAAUUACGGUAUGUUUAAUUUAAACACUAGUGCAAUAUAGUAAUGAAUGAAUAUUUAAUGACCACACAGCAAGACUGGUGGAAUUUGUCUUCAGUACAGGCUGGUACAGCUUCAAACAAUAAAUUAAUACAGUUGUAAAAUAUUUGAAGCCCUGUUGUAUUUAAUAUUUCAUCAUUUACUGACAUGUGAUUUUUUUUGGUUGUGGUUUGUUCUACAUGCAAAUUGUUAAAUCUGUCCGGGGUGGGCCUAGUGACUCAAAAAACCAUCACAUCGUUUUUACAGAUGGCCCUUUUGUCUCCUCAUGUGUUGUAGUAUAAACCCCUGCAAUGACACGCUGCAAGUAGUCGUCAUCAUAUAGGUUAGAACAGCUAACCAAAAAAAAUUUUUUUUUUUUUUGUCCUCUUGUGAUAUGCCCCAGCCAUGUUGUACUUAUUGAACAAGCCUGUCUUGAAGUAAUAAUAACCUAAUACUGUGUGUUCUCUUCAAGAUUGUAGAACUACAAAUACAUGACACAAUUUUGCACGCCAGUACUGUAUUGAGGAUGUCUUACUGGAUGCACCUCCACGGACAAGAUUGCGUGUCAGGCCUAUAAAUCAUGAACAAUGUUGCUUUGGAGAAAAGUGAAGCGGCAGUGGAGGUCCUGUCCUAAAUAACACAAGUAGGUGAGAUCACCCUAUCCUUCUAAAUUGCCUCAAGAGACCCACACAGACAAAAGGUAUUGAAAAAACAUAAAAGGUAUUUACUAGUUGGGUCCACAGGGUGUUUCGACACAAAGGCAUGAUUUAAUAUGAUUGUUAUUACCUCUACAAUCUAAAUCUUUAGAUCUAAAAUGCAUCCAUUCAUAUUCGUUAAAAAAUAUCUCCCUUAAUCUAUUUUGUACCAUAUAUUCUCGAUCUAGUGUAAUAAAAAAAAUAUUAAUAUAAUACAUGCCUUGGCUUCUGGACUGAUAAAGGAAAAAGUUGCUGCAUUGGUAUAGCUCCCCCCAAGGUUUGUUAUUCAAUCAGUUGUUAAAUGCACAUACCAACAUUGAACAAAAAAAAACGGUUGCGAAAUGAAUUUUUUUCGUCAAUACAUUAUUACAUUUGAGAAUGGUGCCUUUGCCCCUUCCAUAUCGCCA